RNAcentral lists this ribosomal RNA (261 nucleotides) under uncultured prokaryote. Its description in RNAcentral is "partial 16S ribosomal RNA". It matches the Rfam family "Bacterial small subunit ribosomal RNA", at positions 524 to 784 of the family's 1533-position model. The record is from RNAcentral.
UACGUAGGUGGCAAGCGUUAUCCGGAAUUAUUGGGCGUAAAGAGCGCGCAGGUGGUUGAUUAAGUCUGAUGUGAAAGCCCACGGCUUAACCGUGGAGGGUCAUUGGAAACUGGUCGACUUGAGUGCAGAAGAGGGAAGUGGAAUUCCAUGUGUAGCGGUGAAAUGCGUAGAUAUAUGGAGGAACACCAGUGGCGAAGGCGACUUUCUGGUCUAUUAUUGACGCUGAGGCUCGAAAGCAUGGGUAGCAAACAGGAUUAGAUA